Molecule: transfer RNA, 85 nt
Filed under: Caldimonas thermodepolymerans
Lineage: Bacteria; Pseudomonadati; Pseudomonadota; Betaproteobacteria; Burkholderiales; Sphaerotilaceae
Description: Schlegelella thermodepolymerans tRNA
Rfam family: tRNA
About the family: Transfer RNA (tRNA) molecules are approximately 80 nucleotides in length. Their secondary structure includes four short double-helical elements and three loops (D, anti-codon, and T loops).
Source: Rfam by way of RNAcentral
GGAGGUGUGGCCGAGUGGUUGAAGGCACCGGAUUUGAACUCCGGCAACGGGCGACCGUUCGUGGGUUCGAAUCCCACCGCCUCCG